UACGUAGGUCCCGAGCGUUGUCCGGAUUUAUUGGGCGUAAAGCGAGCGCAGGUGGUUUAUUAAGUCUGGUGUAAAAGGCAGUGGCUCAACCAUUGUAUGCAUUGGAAACUGGGAGACUUGAGUGCAGAAGAGGAGAGUGGAACUCCAUGUGUAGCGGUGAAAUGCGUAGAUAUAUGGAAGAACACCAGUGGCGAAAGCGGCUCUCUGGUCUGUAACUGACGCUGAGGUUCGAAAGCGUGGGUAGCAAAUAGG
This 252-nucleotide ribosomal RNA is filed under the name uncultured bacterium. RNAcentral's name for it is "partial 16S ribosomal RNA". It matches the Rfam family "Bacterial small subunit ribosomal RNA", at positions 524 to 776 of the family's 1533-position model. The record is from RNAcentral.